UCUCUCUCUCUCUCUCUCUCUCUCUCUCUCUCUCUGUAUACAUAUACAUGUGAGGAGGGGGAAGGGAAGAGAGAGCGAGGGAGG
Molecule: non-coding RNA, 84 nt
Organism: Podarcis lilfordi (Lilford's wall lizard)
Lineage: Eukaryota; Metazoa; Chordata; Lepidosauria; Squamata; Lacertidae
Source: the annotation of a GenBank genome assembly